Oncorhynchus keta (chum salmon) is the source of this 361-nucleotide long non-coding RNA. RefSeq lists it as uncharacterized. The transcript has 3 exons. Lineage: Eukaryota; Metazoa; Chordata; Actinopteri; Salmoniformes; Salmonidae. The record is from RefSeq and is a predicted model, not a curated record.
CUCACUACCAGUCAGUUGACUCACUGUACAAGACCUCUCCCCUUCACUCUGGAAGUACUCUUGACAAUAUCUUGAAAUAUAGUUUUUGGUUAUUUGUUUUUAGUCAUAAGUCAUAUACUUGAGGACUGCAGGGUGGGAGAUGCAACAAUGUCCUUGAGAACAGCAGGAAGUGUGUUGGUGGUCUUUCUCUGGUCUGUGACAGUGGUACUGGGUCAGGAUGGCUGGAGUGUUACAUACACCACUCAGAGUAUCUGUACCUUGAAGGGGUCAUCAGUGGAUCUGUUCUGCUCUUACACAUAUCCCAGAGGUAAAGUCACAACAACACUCUGGUUCACUAAAAUGGAGGCUGGUAUAGAACCUG